CAGGCUUACACAUGCAAGUCGAGGGGUAUAGUUCUUCGGAGCUAGAGACCGGCGCACGGGCGCUUAACGCGUAUGCAAUCUACCUUUUACAGAGGGAUAGCCCUGAGAAAUUUGGAUUAAUACCUCAUAGUAUGUGAGAAUCGCAUGGUUCUCACAUUAAAGUCACAACGGUAAAAGAUGAGCAUGCGUCCCAUUAGCUAGAUGGUAAGGUAACGGCUUACCAUGGCAACGAUGGGUAGGGGUCCUGAGAGGGAGAUCCCCCACACUGGUACUGAGACACGGACCAGACUCCUACGGGAGGCAGCAGUGAGGAAUAUUGGACAAUGGGCGCAAGCCUGAUCCAGCCAUGCCGCGUGCAGGAUGACGGUCCUAUGGAUUGUAAACUGCUUUUGUACAGGAAGAAACACUCCCUCGUGAGGGAGCUUGACAGUACUGUAAGAAUAAGGAUCGGCUAACUCCGUGCCAGCAGCCGCGGUAAUACGGAGGAUCCAAGCGUUAUCCGGAAUCAUUGGGUUUAAAGGGUCCGUAGGCGGUUUAAUAAGUCAGUGGUGAAAGCCCAUCGCUCAACGGUGGAACGGCCAUUGAUACUGUUAAACUUGAAUUAUUAGGAAGUAACUAGAAUAUGUAGUGUAGCGGUGAAAUGCUUAGAGAUUACAUGGAAUACCAAUUGCGAAGGCAGGUUACUACUAAUGGAUUGACGCUGAUGGACGAAAGCGUGGGUAGCGAACAGGAUUAGAUACCCUGGUAGUCCACGCCGUAAACGAUGGAUACUAGCUGUUGGGAGCAAUCUCAGUGGCUAAGCGAAAGUGAUAAGUAUCCCACCUGGGGAGUACGUUCGCAAGAAUGAAACUCAAAGGAAUUGACGGGGGCCCGCACAAGCGGUGGGGCAUGUGGUUUAAUUCGAUGAUACGCGAGGAACCUUACCAGGCUUAAAUGUAGUUUGACCGA
Molecule: ribosomal RNA, 948 nt
Filed under: uncultured Flavobacteriaceae bacterium
Lineage: Bacteria; Pseudomonadati; Bacteroidota; Flavobacteriia; Flavobacteriales; Flavobacteriaceae
Description: bacterial SSU rRNA
Rfam family: Bacterial small subunit ribosomal RNA
Source: RNAcentral